RNAcentral lists this ribosomal RNA (275 nucleotides) under uncultured bacterium. RNAcentral describes it as "partial 16S ribosomal RNA". It matches the Rfam family "Bacterial small subunit ribosomal RNA", at positions 338 to 610 of the family's 1533-position model. The record is from RNAcentral.
CCUACGGGGGGCUGCAGUAAGGAAUAUUGGGCAAUGGACGGAAGUCUGACCCAGCCAUGCCGCGUGCAGGAAGAAGGCCCUAUGGGUUGUAAACUGCUUUUCUGAGGGAAGAAAAAUAUGUAUUUAUAGGUAUCUGACGGUACCUCAGGAAUAAGCACCGGCUAACUCCGUGCCAGCAGCCGCGGUAAUACGGAGGGUGCAAGCGUUAUCCGGAAUUACUGGGUUUAAAGGGUGCGUAGGCGGUUAGAUAAGUCAGUGGUGAAAGGUUGCCGCUU